Molecule: non-coding RNA, 30 nt
Filed under: Rattus norvegicus (Norway rat)
Lineage: Eukaryota; Metazoa; Chordata; Mammalia; Rodentia; Muridae
Source: RNAcentral
UGAGAAAUGGAAGAUGAUGAUUCCCAAGAU